This 586-nucleotide ribosomal RNA is filed under the name Lodderomyces parapsilosis. RNAcentral's name for it is "LSU rRNA". It matches the Rfam family "Eukaryotic large subunit ribosomal RNA", at positions 53 to 654 of the family's 3401-position model. Lineage: Eukaryota; Fungi; Ascomycota; Pichiomycetes; Serinales; Debaryomycetaceae. The record is from RNAcentral.
GAGGAAAAGAAACCAACAGGGAUUGCCUUAGUAGCGGCGAGUGAAGCGGCAAAAAGCUCAAAUUUGAAAUCUGGCACUUUCAGUGUCCGAGUUGUAAUUUGAAGAAGGUAUCUUUGGGUCUGGCUCUUGUCUAUGUUUCUUGGAACAGAACGUCACAGAGGGUGAGAAUCCCGUGCGAUGAGAUGUCCCAGACCUAUGUAAAGUUCCUUCGAAGAGUCGAGUUGUUUGGGAAUGCAGCUCUAAGUGGGUGGUAAAUUCCAUCUAAAGCUAAAUAUUGGCGAGAGACCGAUAGCGAACAAGUACAGUGAUGGAAAGAUGAAAAGAACUUUGAAAAGAGAGUGAAAAAGUACGUGAAAUUGUUGAAAGGGAAGGGCUUGAGAUCAGACUUGGUAUUUUGUAUGUUACUCUCUCGGGGGUGGCCUCUACAGUUUACCGGGCCAGCAUCAGUUUGAGCGGUAGGAUAAGUGCAAAGAAAUGUGGCACUGCUUCGGUAGUGUGUUAUAGUCUUUGUCGAUACUGCCAGCUUAGACUGAGGACUGCGGCUUCGGCCUAGGAUGUUGGCAUAAUGAUCUUAAGUCGCCCGUCU